UAUUCGAAUUAUUAUUUAGAAACAUGAAAAAAGCAAAUAAGAUAAUAAUAAUAAUAAUAAAUAUACAAAGAACAGCUGAAGAAAGCGAGCGUGCAGUGAACUUGUACAAAAGUGCAAAUUGAAAAGGAACGAAGGGACAAGAGGAGGACGUCGUAAGUCAGUGUCAGGCAACAGAGUUUAAUCUCUUAAUUACUAAAGAGUAAGUUUGCAUGCAGGCAUGCAGCAUGUUAAAGUCGUUGCAAAGAUUAGUGGUAACACUACUCUGAUAAGUCUUCCAUCCGGCUUGUUUGUUAAAUAAUAUCAUCGCUACUCGGAUACAAGAUUGCGAAAGUAUCUCUUAUUUCAUCUGCGUGCAUGCGAUUCUGCUUAAAUACCGGUUCAUCUACGACACGGAUACAACAGCAGAUGCAACAGGAAAGAUCUUGAAAAUUUCGUAAAAUUUAAUAUCCGAUAGUGACGUUCCCUGUCGAUUUAAAACGGAUUUAUCAAACUACAGACGCCACGAAAAAUAUAAAUGUAGAUCUUUUUCACUGGUGAACUUAUUGAAAUUAUUUAUAAGAAUGAUAAGAAUUUUUUAUUAUUGUACCGUAAUUGCGUAUUAUACUAUUAGAGGAACGCAAUGAGAUAGAUUGUUAAUCAUUUUAUAUUCGUUCAGGUCAACAAGUAUCUUUUUUAAUUUCUCCUAAUAUUACCCUUUAUUA
This 701-nucleotide unclassified non-coding RNA is filed under the name Bombus terrestris (buff-tailed bumblebee). RNAcentral describes it as "misc RNA ENSBTSG00005033904.1". The record is from RNAcentral. Lineage: Eukaryota; Metazoa; Arthropoda; Insecta; Hymenoptera; Apidae.